This 1179-nucleotide ribosomal RNA is filed under the name Triticum aestivum (bread wheat). Its description in RNAcentral is "partial small subunit ribosomal RNA". The record is from RNAcentral. Lineage: Eukaryota; Viridiplantae; Streptophyta; Magnoliopsida; Poales; Poaceae.
AUGGCGAACCGCACGGACCCCCUGGCCCGGAGCAUCCACGGCACCAACCCACAGAACCUGGUGGAGAAGAUCGUGCGGGCUAAGAUCUACCAGAGCAACUACUGGAAGGAGCAGUGCUUCGGCCUCACGGCGGAGACCCUCGUCGACAAGGCCAUGGAGCUCGACCACACCGGCGGCACCCACGGCGGCAACCGCAGGCCGACCCCCUUCCUCUGCCUCGCCCUCAAGAUGCUCCAGAUCCAGCCCGACAAGGAAAUCGUCGUCGAGUUCAUCAAGAACGAGGACUACAAGUAUGUCCGGGUUCUUGGGGCCUUCUACCUGCGCCUCACUGGCACCGUCGCCGACGUUUACCAGUACCUCGAGCCGCUCUACAACGACUACCGCAAGAUUAGGCAAAAGCUCAGCGAUGGAAAAUUCACGCUGACACACGUUGACGAAUUCAUUGACGAGCUCCUGACCAAGGACUAUAGCUGCGACACUGCCCUCCCCCGCAUUCAGAAAAGAUGGAUCCUUGAAGCUUCUGGAACUCUAGAACCUAGAAGAAGUGCACUUGAAGACGAUUUUGAGGAAGAGGAGGAAGAUAAGGAGGAUGGACAGCCUAUGGACGUAGAUGAGCCUAACACUCAUGAAAAGGACCAUCUUCGUGGAAGAAGCCCCACCAAAGAACGCGACAGGGAAAGGGAGAGGGACAGAGACAGGAAACACGAAAGGCAUCACAGGGACCGAGAUCAUGACAGAGAUCGGGAUCACGGGGACUAUGGAAGAGGCCGGGAAAGAGAUCGAGACAGAGAUAGAGGCCGUGAAAGAGAUAGAGAGAGGGAUAGGGAACGAGACCGUCACCGCAUCAGAGAUGAUGACUACAACCGAGAUCGUGACCGGGAUGGCAGGGAAAGGGAACGCCGGGACAGAGACCGUGGCAGGCACAGGAGCCGCUCAAGGAGCAGAAGCCGGGAUCGGCGUGAAAGAGACCGUGAAGUGGGAGAGCUCCGUAAGAGACGUGGCCGUGGUAGUGCCAGUCCUCCUCGAGGGCGUGCCGAUGAUGGUCCGAGGGAGGAGCCUAAGAAGAGAAAGGAAAAGAAAGAGAAGAAGGGCAGCGGGAAGGGUCCAGAUCCUAAUGAUCCAGAGAUUAUAGAGAUGAACAAGCUGCGCGCAUCGAUAGGGUUGGGACCACUGAAGUAA